This is a long non-coding RNA of Macrosteles quadrilineatus (aster leafhopper), 663 nucleotides long. RefSeq lists it as uncharacterized. Lineage: Eukaryota; Metazoa; Arthropoda; Insecta; Hemiptera; Cicadellidae. The record is from RefSeq and is a predicted model, not a curated record. The transcript is spliced from 3 exons.
GCCACGCCAUGUUACCAUUACCUUCAGUACCGCUCAAUUAUCCUUAGGUUCGUAAUCUUAAUCUUCGUUAUACGGCCACUAUGGCUACUUAGGAAUCUCUCCGACAAAAACUUAUGGCAUUUUUGGAUUCAGCAUGAAAAAUACUGAUAAAAAAAUCAAUACGUUUGUUUAAAUGGUACCUGGACUCAGGAGUGAGCCUGGAGAAGGUCACAGUUUUACGAAAUUGACGACUGAAAAAAUGUUCAUCGCUGUUUAUUGAUGCGACAAAAAGGUACGACACGAGACGGAAGGAUGAUUUUCACCGUGUGAGGAGGAAUUUCAACAAAACUGGCCGAAGUCCUUUUGUGAUGGGGUCAAUUUAUUUCAACCUCCUACCAAACAAUAUAAAGGAAUUAGAAGGCACUAAAUUCAAAAUUGCUCUGAAGAAUUGGCUAGUUAAAAAAAGACCGUAUUCAUCAAAAAUUUCAGAUCCAACCGAUUCGGCAUAACAAUUUGGAAAACUACAUUUUGAGUGAUCUAAGUUGAGCCCAGGUUUGUACACUAAGAGGUAAUAUUGUUUUAUAUACAUUGAAAUUGUAUUCUUUUUUCUUUUGUUUUGACAUUGGUGACUUUUGUCUAUGCAUUGUAUAUAUAUGUUUAUGGACAAUAAAUGAUUUGAUUUGA